This 460-nucleotide ribosomal RNA is filed under the name uncultured bacterium. RNAcentral's name for it is "bacterial SSU rRNA". It matches the Rfam family "Bacterial small subunit ribosomal RNA", at positions 28 to 507 of the family's 1533-position model. The record is from RNAcentral.
GACGAACGCUGGCGGCGUGCUUCAUACAUGCAAGUCGAACGAGAAGUUACCUUCGGGUGAUGGAAAGUGGCGGACGGGUGAGUAAUGUGUAGAGAAUCUACCCUAGAGAGGGGGACAACAGCUGGAAACGGUUGCUAAUACCCCAUAUGAGAUAAGUUGAAAUAUUUAUCUUGAAAACUCCGGUGCUCUGGGAUGAGUCUGCAUCUGAUUAGCUAGUUGGGGGUGUAAUGGACCACCAAGGCGACGAUCAGUAGCCGACCUGAGAGGGUGAUCGGCCACAUUGGAACUGAGACACGGUUCCAAAACCCCCUACGGGAGGCAGCAGUGGGGAAUAUUGCACAAUGGGCGAAAGCCUGAUGCAGCAACGCCGCGUGAAGGAAGAAGGUCUUCGGAUCGUAAACUUCUGUCCUUAGGGAAGAUAAUGACGGUACCUUUGGAGGAAGCCCCGGCUAACUACGUG